Long non-coding RNA from Canis lupus familiaris (dog), 477 nucleotides. RefSeq lists it as uncharacterized. The record is from RefSeq and is a predicted model, not a curated record. The transcript has 3 exons. Lineage: Eukaryota; Metazoa; Chordata; Mammalia; Carnivora; Canidae.
AUAAAUGUUAGGUGAAAGGUUUUUAUUCCGCAGGUGGUGGGGUUUGGGGCAGAUAUUCAGAACUUGAUACUUUGAAAGUCUGCUCCAGAAGAAAUGUGCUGUGACUGACACUGGGGAGUAGCUGAAACUGAAAGAACACUGAAGGCUGUUGGAAAAACCAAUGUCAAGGUGUUGAAAGCAAAUCUACAAAGAGAUCCCCUGUUUCUUGCUUUGGUGUAUUCCAAUGCAGCAUAACGUCUCUACCAUAGAAAUAAAAUAAGAUUGAAGGCAAGUGAGGAGCAAGAAAUAUUGCCCAGAAUGAAAUGAUUAUUCACUGGUAGGGAUGGAAUCAAAACCAAAACCACCUUGUUCAAUAGCUUCCCAAGAUGGAAUCACUGAACAGAAAAAUCAGCAGUAAUAAAGUCAAAAGUUAUCUGUGUUUUCUCAAAACAAUCAAAUUUAACAAUUAAAAUAGUAUGUGUCUUGCUGGGUAGACCA